RNAcentral lists this ribosomal RNA (2086 nucleotides) under Taeniothrips inconsequens (pear thrips). Its description in RNAcentral is "eukaryotic LSU rRNA". It matches the Rfam family "Eukaryotic large subunit ribosomal RNA", at positions 43 to 1901 of the family's 3401-position model. Lineage: Eukaryota; Metazoa; Arthropoda; Insecta; Thysanoptera; Thripidae. The record is from RNAcentral.
UUAAUAAGGGGAGGAAAAGAAACUAACAAGGAUUCCCUUAGUAGCGGCGAGCGAACAGGGAGGAGCCCAGCGCUGAAUCCCCCGGGCCUCGCUCGGCGGGAAAUGUAGCGUUAAGGAGUGUCCGUUAACACGUCGUAUCGCUUUUCGCUCAAGUCAACCUUGAACGGGGCCACACAGAGGGUGAUAUGCCCGUGUAGCAUUAGCGUGCGGCGUGUGGGCAUCUCCUCAGAGUCGGUUUGCUUGAGAGUGCAGACCUAAGUGGGUGGUAAACUCCAUCUAAGGCUAAAUAUGACCACGAGACCGAUAGCACACAAGUACCGUGAGGGAAAGGUGAAAAGAACUUUGAAGAGAGAGUUCAAGAGUACGUGAAACUGAGCUGGUGAAAGCGGACAGAAUUGAAAUUUGCGAAUGGAGGCGAUUCAUUCGACCCCGUAGCGGAGGCUGCGGUCGGCGAUGGCGAUUUGCGAGCCCAGGGGCCUUUCGGGGCGUACUGGUGUCUCCUGCGUCGAGCCGGCCGCGGUUCGUUAGCGUGAGGGGAAGGUGCACUUCACUCCUAGUAGCACGUCGCGGCUCGUUGGGGUGCCGUCCUAAGGCCCGUGAUGGAGCCCUCGCCUUUGUGCGUUGACUCACGGUGUCCCGGUCGGUCCCCGACGGUGUUCAGUACCUGGUCGGAGCCGUUUCGUCUGUGCCCCUAGAGCGGUGGCAAAUCAGACUGGCUCCCUCGGUCUGCGGCGCUUGUUUCGAUCCCUGUCCGUCCCGUCUUGAAACACGGACCAAGGAGUCUAACAUGUGCGCGAGUCAUUGGGCUCGACAAACCCUAAAGGCGAAAUGAAAGUAAAGGCCGGGCUCGUCUCGCGCCGAGGGGUGAUGGUCGCGCUAACCAUGCCGGCCCGCAACCCCGGGGCGCCGCGUUCUCUUUGAGAUGCGGCGCACCUUGAGCGUACACGUUGGUACCCGAAAGAUGGUGAACUAUGCCUGGCCAGAGCGAAGUCAGGGGAAACCCUGAUGGAGGCUCGAAACGAUUCUGACGUGCAAAUCGAUCGUCAGAGCUGGGUAUAGGGGCGAAAGACUAAUCGAACCGUCUAGUAGCUGGUUCCCUCUGAAGUUUCCCUCAGGAUAGCUGGCGCUCGGAUGAGUCUCAUCCGGUAAAGCGAAUGAUUAGAGGCCUUGGGGUCGAAACGACCUCAACCUAUUCUCAAACUUUAAAUGGGUGAGAGCUCCGGCUUGCUUCGGUGAAGCCGGCAGCGUCUCGGAUCGAGAGUGCCAAGUGGGCCAAUUUUGGUAAGCAGAAAUGGCGCUGUGGGAUGAACCAAACGCGGAGUUAAAGCGCCUAAGUCGACGCUGAUGGGAAACCAUGAAAGGCGUUGGUUGCUGAAGACAGCAGGACGGUGGCCAUGGAAGUUGGAAACCGCUAAGGAGUGUGUAACAACUCACCUGCCGAAGCAACCAGCCCUGAAAAUGGAUGGCGCUGAAGCGUCGCGCUUAUACUCCGCCGUCAGGGCAAAAGGCCCUUCGGGGCUCUUGAUGCCCUGAUGAGUAAGAGGGUCGCGUCGGUGUGCGCAGAAGGGUUGGGCGUGAGCCUGCCUGGAGCCGCCGACGGUGCAGAUCUUGGUGGUAGUAGCAAAUACUCUAAAGAGACCUUGGAGGACCGAAGUGGAGAAGGGCUCCGCGACAACAGUGCUUGCUCGCGAGUGAGUCGAUCCUAAGCCCAGGGAGAAAUCCUUCGUAUGGCCGCCGCAAGGUGGCCGUCGGGCGAAAGGGAAUCCGGUAACCAUUCCGGAACCAGAGUUGGAACCGUAUCGCAGGUCCUCGUACUUGUCACGGCGACGUGAAUUGCCCCAGGGACGCCGUCGGGUGCUGUCAGAAGAGUUAUCUUUUCUCUAUGAGUGGGCGUACUCUGUGGAAUUCUCUUGCAGAGAGAUACAGAGCGGCUUCACGAAGAGCAUCGCACUUGCGGCGGUGUUGACAGAUUACUCCUCGGACCUUGAAAACCUGGGUGAGGGCCACGCGUGCCUCCAACUCUUGUUCGUACCCAUAUCCGCAUCAGGUCUCCAAGGUAAAGAGCCUCUUGUCGAUGGAAUAAUGU